UAGUAGUUGGGGGAUUCAUUUUCCNUAGUAACGUAGNUAACGCGGUGNAGUUGACCGCCUGGGGGAGUACGGUNGCAAGAUUAAAANUCNNAGGAAUUGACGGGGACCCGCACAAGCGGGUGGAUGAUGUGGAUUAAUUNGAUGNAACGCGAAAAACCUUACCUACCCUUGACAUGCCACUAACGAAGCAGAGAUGCAUUAGGUGCUCGAAAGAGAAAGUGGACACAGGUGCUGCAUGGCUGUCGUCAGNUCGUGUCGUGAGAUGUUGGGUUAAGUCCCGCAACGAGCGCAACCCUUGUCUCUUAGUUGACUACGAAAGGGCACUUCUAGAGAGACUGCCGGUGACAAACCGGAGGAAGGUGGGGAUGACGUCAAGUCCUCAUGGCCCUUAUGGGUAGGGCUUCACACGUCAUACAAUGGNGCAUACAGAGGGUUGCCAAGCCGCGAGGUGGNGCNAAUCCCAAGAAANUGCAUCGUAAGUCCGGAUCGUNGUNUGCAACGUCUGACUACGUGNAGACUGGAAUC
This 525-nucleotide ribosomal RNA is filed under the name uncultured Ralstonia sp. RNAcentral describes it as "partial 16S ribosomal RNA". It matches the Rfam family "Bacterial small subunit ribosomal RNA", at positions 817 to 1333 of the family's 1533-position model. Lineage: Bacteria; Pseudomonadati; Pseudomonadota; Betaproteobacteria; Burkholderiales; Burkholderiaceae. The record is from RNAcentral.